AACGACUCUCGGCAACGGAUAUCUCGGCUCUCGCAUCGAUGAAGAACGUAGCGAAAUGCGAUACUUGGUGUGAAUUGCAGAAUCCCGUGAACCAUCGAGUCUUUGAACGCAAGUUGCGCCCGAGGCCUUUGGCCGAGGGCACGUCUGCCUGGGCGU
Molecule: ribosomal RNA, 156 nt
Filed under: Arenaria serpyllifolia
Lineage: Eukaryota; Viridiplantae; Streptophyta; Magnoliopsida; Caryophyllales; Caryophyllaceae
Also listed under: 1 other name
Description: 5.8S ribosomal RNA
Rfam family: 5.8S ribosomal RNA
About the family: 5.8S ribosomal RNA (5.8S rRNA) is a component of the large subunit of the eukaryotic ribosome. It is transcribed by RNA polymerase I as part of the 45S precursor that also contains 18S and 28S rRNA.
Source: RNAcentral